AGACGGUGAGGGUCUGUCUGAGACUGAGACGCUGAAGAAACCAGCCCCCUCUGGCUCUCCCGGGACACCCUUUGGAUCUGUGUGGAUGUUCCUUCUCAAGGCUCUUCGCCAGCCCUUAGCACACAUUCGAACCCUCGAGACUUCCACCUGCUGUGCUAGGUUCUCGCUGUUUCAGCUCAGAUAAGCCAUGGCUUCCCCCUGAAUUAUGCAGCUAAGCUUUACCCUCGGAGCUGUCUGUUGUAAACUGGAUGUUUUAAAACUGUGACGGAAGUGGGGCUACCAGGGUGUACAGCAACUCAAAAGGAUAUACUUCGGGGCAGAGGCCAAUCUCUUUGGCAUCCUGAAACUCUGCAGCGUUGAGGGCAGAAUAAAAAGAUUCCCCUGCAUUCGAUUGGACGGUUCUUGCAUCCAGCACGAGGCCAGUGCACCUCGGGGUAGUCGGCUCCUCUCAGCUGAUGCACGUGAGCUGGACUCUUUCUCCUUGUAGUGCAUACGUCAUUGGGUGUAUUUCCUGCAGGAAAACUACUGUGUUAAUGGCUAAGGUCUAACUUCUCUUUCAGGAAGGGCUGAUCUAGAGAAAGAAAACAGUAGUGUGACAAGAGAUUAUGUCUGUCAGACCACGAGAGUGUGAGCUGUACCAGAUCAUGCAAAAUGAGGGGAAUAUGUCACACACACACACACACACACACACACACACACACAAAGCCUGGGUGUAAAUAUAACCACUGGGGGAUGGGAAACUAGAGCGAAACAAAAAUUCCAUUUAAGGUUUAGGUAUCUAAUCGUAUUGCUUUGGAAACAUUUGUAAAAAAGGACUAUUUCACUCACUUGCCUUAUUCCUCUUAGUCGUCUAUCAAGACAUUAUUCACCCUAUAUUGGCAGGAAAGGAAACACUGACUGCUGCUCUGUGUGUUAUCAGCCACUCUACAAAGUACCUUUUACCCUGAAAGGACUUAAGAUUUAAGCCGACAACAGUGCCUGUGAAGAAAUGCAUUCUUGGGUUAGUGUGAGGACAAAAGAGGGUUAAUUUUUCAAAUCUCUGUGAAGAGGGGGGGAAAAAAACUGGAAGAUGAAAAUCAAAGACGGAGCUUCUAGUGAUUUAGUUGUAUUUAUGGAUUAUACUGCCUCUUGAAAAGAAGAAAAUCAGAGCUGUAAGAUGACACUGCAGGGGUUGUCUGGACCUUUCACGGAGUCUAAAGUCUGUGGAGUCAAUGCUUAUUAAGGCCUGGUCUUGACCUCUGCUCUGCUGACGCCUCCCUGGUCCAGGUGCAACAUUAUUGCAAGUGCUUUACUGUUAUCAGACACGAUGUGCAAACUUCAAAUCCUGAAUGAACAGAGUCCGCUGAGCAUACACACAAUCCAGCAAUUAUGAUGCCUACAUGUAAAAAUGAGUGAAGACCUGUAAACUUAAUCCACUUCCUUUUAUAAUUAAUAAACAGUGACAAUAGCUCUUCUUCAAGAUACAGCUGCUCAAGUGCAACUUACCUGCAGCUAGCUUUGGCACUUAUGCUGAUAGGAUCAAAUUUGGCAAGAAUAUUUAAAGUAAUGAUUCCUGUCUAAACAAAUUCUAUUUGAAUGAACCAUGGGGGAGUGUAUAUAACAAUUUCUUUAAAAAUCAAAUGUAUACUCUGAGUAAUACAAGAGGUCUCUUAUAGUCUAGGUUUUGUUUUUGUCUUUUUUAAAAAGGAUUGAUUUUACUUUUAAAAAUGGCAUUAACAGAAUAAGACAGGAAAACACAAAAUUCCCCAGAAUUUUAUCCUGAAGUAUAGUAAAGCUUUUUCACUCCAACAGUUCUAUAAAGCGUACUUCCAUAUUUACAUAGGGUUUGAUAAAUAUAAGAGAAAAACAAUUUAUACAUAUCCAUUAAUUGAUCUUUUGAAUAAAAUUGCUAUGUUUAUGCCUCUGAAAUGUUAGCUAACUUGUGUAAAUCAUAUAAAAUGACCCAAAAUUAGCUGCACACACAUAAACAGAGGAGAAAUAAAACUCUCAGGUAUCAGAAUACAUUACAGAGAUUUAGGAUUUUAUUUUAUCUUUCUGUUGAGUGUUUAGCAGACAAUUCUCUAAAUUACAUAAAUUUACUCUUUUUAAAUAUAAAUUUUGAACUUCGAGGAAACAAAUCUCUAACUUAUAAGGAAAGCAAAAGUUUUAAAUUUGCACUAAAGGAGUCAUACAUAAAUACGUCUUUUUUAGCCAGAAUUUUAAAAAGUAGAAAACAUUUCAUUUUAAAUUUAAAAAUAUUUCAGACUUAAAUUUCAAUUUAGAAAACAUUUCAGUUAAAGCAAUGUCAUCUUUCUAUCACCAAGAUUUAUCAUUUUUAACAUUUUUCCCUCUAUUUACUCCAAGCCAUUAAAAAAUAAACAUAUGCAAUUGAAGAUGUCAACUUUCUUGCCAUUUCCGGAGGUCCUUCUGGCAGUAGAAGUAAUCACUAUCUUUUCUAGGUCAUUUUUUCACACCUCCAUUUUUUUAAUCACCUACUUAAGUGUCAAAAGAUAGAAAACAAAAAGGGGCCAAGUAUCAGUUAUAAGUUCCUAGAUUUGCUGUUUUUAAAUUUUCCUUAAAAUUAUUGGAAAAUUUUCAAAAACGCAUUCAUUGGAUGCCAUAUUUACUUAUUUAUUUUUGGUUUAAAAAAACCUAAUGCUGAUAAAAAGAAAAAAAAAGUUAAAAGAUUUCAUCGCCCUCCUCAAUAAACUUCCUUGGUUUCAGAAAACUGAGAAAAUAUGUCUUCUGCUUCUUUUUAUUCAAAUAUGUAGAAUUGAGUCAUUUAAAUCGUAAGCAUUACAUAAGGGAUUGGUGAUAUGGCUAAAACUUUAUACUCUAAUAUGAUCUCCACUGCUCUCAUUUUCACAAAAAUGCAUGUUGUAGGUAGCUUUAUGCAUGAAUAUUAAUUUUCAUGUCUUAUACUCUCAUAGCAUCUUGUAGAGAGAUGCUUAUUUUAAAUGGUUCAAAGGAACACCAAAGUUACCUCUUUUGGGGUUUGCUAGAAAAAUAUCAGCAACAUCAUAAUUAAAGAAAUGAGCACUGACAUUAUGGCGUUCUUUGUCUCUGUCUUCUGGAGGCAGAUUUCCC
RNAcentral lists this long non-coding RNA (3066 nucleotides) under Sus scrofa (pig). RNAcentral's name for it is "lncRNA (ENSSSCG00000053773.1)". Lineage: Eukaryota; Metazoa; Chordata; Mammalia; Artiodactyla; Suidae. The record is from RNAcentral.